This 89-nucleotide transfer RNA is filed under the name Bacillota bacterium. RNAcentral describes it as "tRNA-Leu". It matches the Rfam family "tRNA". From Rfam's summary of the family: Transfer RNA (tRNA) molecules are approximately 80 nucleotides in length. Lineage: Bacteria; Bacillati; Bacillota. The record is from RNAcentral.
GCCCAGGUGGCGAAAUUGGUAGACGCAAGGGACUUAAAAUCCCUCGGGAAUCAAAUCCCAUACCGGUUCAAGUCCGGUCCCGGGCACCA